UAAUAUUUUAUUAAUAAUAUGAUAUAAUAUUUUAAUUUACAGCCAUUAAUUACUUACAUUUUAACUCAAACUUUUCAAGAUUUACUCCGAAACAGUUCAAAUUUGUGGAACUCGUGUGCUAUAAAGCGCAAACUCUAUCACACUCUAAUGAAAAUGGAGCAUAACAACUGAUUUCAUCACUUCGCAGAAGUUGAAACGUUGUGGUUUUCAGGAAAGUAAUUUUGUU
This 226-nucleotide long non-coding RNA is filed under the name Centruroides sculpturatus (bark scorpion). Its description in RNAcentral is "uncharacterized LOC111631303, transcript variant X3". Lineage: Eukaryota; Metazoa; Arthropoda; Arachnida; Scorpiones; Buthidae. The record is from RNAcentral.